This 740-nucleotide long non-coding RNA is filed under the name Cairina moschata (Muscovy duck). RNAcentral's name for it is "domestica (muscovy Duck (domestic type)) lncRNA (ENSCMMG00000000038.1)". The record is from RNAcentral. Lineage: Eukaryota; Metazoa; Chordata; Aves; Anseriformes; Anatidae.
GCAUUUUGCAAACAUCUAGCAAAUGACAGUACUGUCCCUAAGGGAACACAGCCUACAGAAUGAGAAGAUACACCAGAAAGUGUAAAAGCCAAUAGUAGUUGCAAUAGCUGGGAUUAUUAAACAAACAAGCAAACAAACAAACAACAACAAAAAAACGGAUCGUGGUGGUGCUUAUAAAGUGGAUUUCUUUCUGGUCUGCGUAGAUGUUAAAGAAUCUUUGACAGUGCCAUCCACGUACUAUCAUCAUACUGAACUAUGUUUUUAAUAUUAGCCAUGAGAAGGAUGAGCUACUCAUCGUCUGGAGGGAGGUAAAUUUGGAAAGGAAAAACAUUCGUUUAGAAACAGCGUGAUUAACCAUGUCACUGCAGAGCAAUUCUCUAACUGCCUUCCAGCCAUAAUCAUCUCACAAUCCCAAACUGCCUUCCCUACCAUUACAGGUCUGAGAAGACCCUCUGAUCUUUGCCUAGUUGCCAGAAUUUCCAACUUUUACCAUACUACAAAAACUGCAGCCACAGCAUCCCACCAGUACACAAGCAGUACCUGUGCAGAAACUGUUCACCACCCACAGAGGGGAAAAAGAAGCUAGCAGCAACCUGCAUAUAUGUCAAGAGCAGAACAGAUUAAAGUGAGCACUGUGUACUGUCACUCCAGGCAGGUGAGUUUGGCACCGUGGUUUGCAUGUCUUAAGGUUUCUUUCCCAAUCUGCAUUGUAGUUUUUCUAAGAGCUGGUCUGUAAUGUG